Molecule: ribosomal RNA, 253 nt
Filed under: uncultured bacterium
Lineage: Bacteria
Description: partial 16S ribosomal RNA
Rfam family: Bacterial small subunit ribosomal RNA
Source: RNAcentral
UACGUAGGUGGCAAGCGUUGUCCGGAAUUACUGGGCGUAAAGCGUGCGCAGGCGGUGAUGUAAGACAGAUGUGAAAUCCCCGGGCUCAACCUGGGACCUGCAUUUGUGACUGCAUCGCUAGAGUACGGUAGAGGGGGAUGGAAUUCCGCGUGUAGCAGUGAAAUGCGUAGAUAUGCGGAGGAACACCGAUGGCGAAGGCAAUCCCCUGGACCUGUACUGACGCUCAUGCACGAAAGCGUGGGGAGCAAACAGG